CUCUUGGGUUGUAAACCUCUUUUCUCAGGGAAGAAUUCUUGACGGUACCUGAGGAAUAAGCAUCGGCUAACUCCGUGCCAGCAGCCGCGGUAAUACGGAGGAUGCAAGCGUUAUCCGGAAUGAUUGGGCGUAAAGCGUUCGCAGGUGGUUAAUCAAGUCUGCUGUUAAAGCGUCUGGCUUAACCAGAUAAAGGCAGUGGAAACUGAUGGACUAGAGUGCGGUAGGGGCAGAGGGAAUUCCUGGUGUAGCGGUGAAAUGCGUAGAGAUCAGGAAGAACACCGGUGGCGAAAGCGCUCUGCUGGACCGCAACUGACACUGAGGGACGAAAGCUAGGGGAGCGAAUGGGAUUAGAUACCCCAGUAGUCCUAGCCGUAAACGAUGGAUACUAGGCGUUGCCCGUAUCGACCCGGGCAGUGUCGUAGCCAACGCGUUAAGUAUCCCGCCUGGGGAGUACGCACGCAAGUGUGAAACUCAAAGGAAUUGACGGGGGCCCGCACAAGCGGUGGAGUAUGUGGUUUAAUUCGAUGCAACGCGAAGAACCUUACCAGGGUUUGACAUGUCCGGAAUCUCUUGGAAACGAGAGAGUGCCUUCGGGAGCCGGAACACAGGUGGUGCAUGGCUGUCGUCAGCUCGUGUCGUGAGAUGUUGGGUUAAGUCCCGCAACGAGCGCAACCCUCGUUCUUAGUUGCCAGCAGUUAGGCUGGGCACUCUAAGGAGACUGCCGGUGACAAACCGGAGGAAGGUGGGGAUGACGUCAAGUCAGCAUGCCCCUUACGCCCUGGGCUACACACGUACUACAAUGCUGUGGACAAAGGGCAGCAAGCUAGCGAUAGCAAGCAAAUCCCACAAACCACGGCUCAGUUCAGAUCGCAGGCUGCAACUCGCCUGCGUGAAGGAGGAAUCGCUAGUAAUUGCAGGUCAGCAUACUGCAGUGAAUUCGUUCCCGGGCCUUGUACACACCGCCCGUCACACCAUGGAAGCUGGUCACGCCCGAAGUCGUUACCCUAACCAUUCUUUGGAGGGGGACGCCGAAGGUAGGACUGGUGACUGGGGUGAAGUCGUAACAAGGUAGCCGUACCGGAAGGUGUGGCUGGAUCACCUCCUUUU
RNAcentral lists this ribosomal RNA (1107 nucleotides) under cf. Hapalosiphon sp. SJRP32527_9. RNAcentral describes it as "bacterial SSU rRNA". It matches the Rfam family "Bacterial small subunit ribosomal RNA", at positions 415 to 1533 of the family's 1533-position model. Lineage: Bacteria; Bacillati; Cyanobacteriota; Cyanophyceae; Nostocales; Hapalosiphonaceae. The record is from RNAcentral.